This 497-nucleotide ribosomal RNA is filed under the name uncultured bacterium. RNAcentral describes it as "partial 16S ribosomal RNA". It matches the Rfam family "Bacterial small subunit ribosomal RNA", at positions 28 to 507 of the family's 1533-position model. The record is from RNAcentral.
GAUGAACGCUGGCGGCGUGCCUAAUACAUGCAAGUCGAGCGAACAGACGAGGAGCUUGCUCCUCUGACGUUAGCGGCGGACGGGUGAGUAACACGUGGAUAACCUACCUAUAAGACUGGGAUAACUUCGGGAAACCGGAGCUAAUACCGGAUAAUAUAUUGAACCGCAUGGUUCAAUAGUGAAAGACGGUUUUGCUGUCACUUAUAGAUGGAUCCGCGCCGCAUUAGCUAGUUGGUAAGGUAACGGCUUACCAAGGCAACGAUGCGUAGCCGACCUGAGAGGGUGAUCGGCCACACUGGAACUGAGACACGGUCCAGACUCCUACGGGGGGCAGCAGUAGGGAAUCUUCCGCAAGGGGCGAAAGCCUGACGGAGCAACGCCGCGUGAGUGAUGAAGGUCUUCGGAUCGUAAAACUCUGUUAUUAGGGAAGAACAAAUGUGUAAGUAACUAUGCACGUCUUGACGGUACCUAAUCAGAAAGCCACGGCUAACUACGUG